UCGGCUUCCCGCUUGCCGUACUUGGCUCCGCCAUUGUUUGACAGUUUACGUCGUUGCUAACCACAGUCUUUCCUGGUUACCUAACGUACUCAACAAGAACAACAAAAACACAAAUGUCGUGUGGAUGUUUAGGACGCCUUUCAGUACCACAGAGAGCAUGAAAGAGGACAGACGUUACAGCCAGGAUGAAAGAUGAAGCCAAACCAGUGCGACGUCCUCUUAGCCAGAGUGAAGUGGCCGCCUACUUCACACAAUCUGUUCUAUGACCGCAGCAACACAGAUCUGCUACAAGCCCAGAGAAGCUGAGAUCGCACACGUCAACGCUGCAUCUCUGUCAUGUACAAAGAGUACAGAUCAAGCCGAGUCACUGACAUCAACAUCUGCUGCAUCCUCUGUUAUCCGUGUCAAGGCUCCUGAUUUGAAGUGUUAAUCUUAUUCAAGCUCACAAAUAUCAUUCAUACAGGAAUCUGACAUGGAGAGCACACACACACACACACACACACACACACACACACACACAC
Cottoperca gobio is the source of this 521-nucleotide long non-coding RNA. RefSeq lists it as uncharacterized. NCBI's taxonomy places the organism in Eukaryota, Metazoa, Chordata, Actinopteri, Perciformes, Bovichtidae. The record is from RefSeq and is a predicted model, not a curated record. The transcript is spliced from 4 exons.